AGCAUGUAAGCAUACACAAUAAUAAUUAUCAUUAGACCUAUAGUAACUAAGACUCGUACUAUUUAGUACUACUUUAAUACUACCUUUAAACUAUUAGGCAUAAUGAAAUAAUGAUUAAUGAUUUCAGUGUUUUCCGCACUCGAGAGAAAAGAGGUUGCAGGGAACUUAGAGACUAAUCUUUGCCAACAUACUGGAUUUCUGGUGAUGACAAUAGGAGCAGAUAGUAUGCGGCUCAGUUAAUACUAAAAACAAUUGAUUUUAGUAAUUAGUGGACUAUGAGUGUGUGUUUGGCCAUCCAGAUUUCAUAACUACAACUGAUGUUCAAUUACAAGGGAUAUUAAUCAGUCUCCGUGGACUAUACACUGUGCCUAGUUUCAUCCUCAGAGACUGAUGUGUAAUCUUAAAGUAAAGACAUAAAAUCAAAGUAUCAGCUAUCAAGAG
Physella acuta is the source of this 441-nucleotide long non-coding RNA. RefSeq lists it as uncharacterized. The record is from RefSeq and is a predicted model, not a curated record. Lineage: Eukaryota; Metazoa; Mollusca; Gastropoda; Physidae.